Molecule: ribosomal RNA, 822 nt
Filed under: uncultured Bacillota bacterium
Lineage: Bacteria; Bacillati; Bacillota
Description: bacterial SSU rRNA
Rfam family: Bacterial small subunit ribosomal RNA
Source: RNAcentral
AAGUCGAACGAGAAAGUGGAGCAAUCCAUGAGUACAGUGGCGUACGGGUGAGUAACACGUGGAUCAUCUACCUCUUUGUGGGGAAUAACCGAGGGAAACCUUGGCUAAUACCGCAUAAGCCCGAGAGGGGAAAGCAGCAAUGCGCAGAGAGAGGAGUCCGCGGCCGAUUAGCUAGUUGGCAGGGUAAAAGCCUACCAAGGCAGAGAUCGGUAGCCGGCCUGAGAGGGCACACGGCCACACUGGCACUGAAACACGGGCCAGACUCCUACGGGAGGCAGCAGUGGGGAAUCUUGCACAAUGGGGGAAACCCUGAUGCAGCGACGCCGCGUGAGCGAUGAAGCCCUUCGGGGUGUAAAGCUCUUUCGGCAGGGAAGAUAGUGACGGUACCUGCAGAAGCAGCUGCGGCUAACUACGUGCCAGCAGCCGCGGUAAUACGUAGGCAGCAAGCGUUGUUCGGAGUUACUGGGCGUAAAGGGUGUGUAGGCGGUUGUUUAAGUUUGGUGUGAAAUCUCCCGGCUCAACUGGGAGGGUGCGCCGAAUACUGAAUGACUUCGAGUGCGGGAGAGGAGAGUGGAAUUCCUGGUGUAGCGGUGAAAUGCGUAGAUAUCAGGAGGAACACCGGUGGUGUAGACGGCUCUCUGGACCGUAACUGACGCUGAGACACGAAAGCGUGGGUAGCAAACAGGAUUAGAUACCCUGGUAGUCCACGCCCUAAACGAUGCACAUUUGGUGUGGGCAGUUCAUUCUGUCCGUGCCGGAGCUAACGCGUUAAAUGUGCCGCCUGGGGAGUACAGUCGCAAGGCUGAAACUCAAAGGAAUUGA